RNAcentral lists this transfer RNA (57 nucleotides) under Ictidomys tridecemlineatus (thirteen-lined ground squirrel). RNAcentral describes it as "Spermophilus tridecemlineatus (thirteen-lined ground squirrel) tRNA". It matches the Rfam family "tRNA", at positions 8 to 63 of the family's 71-position model. From Rfam's summary of the family: Transfer RNA (tRNA) molecules are approximately 80 nucleotides in length. Their secondary structure includes four short double-helical elements and three loops (D, anti-codon, and T loops). The record is from Rfam by way of RNAcentral. Lineage: Eukaryota; Metazoa; Chordata; Mammalia; Rodentia; Sciuridae.
UAGCUCAGUGGUAGAACACUUGCUUAGCAUGCAAGAGGGCCUGAGUUCAAAUCUCAG